This 526-nucleotide small RNA is filed under the name Pongo abelii (Sumatran orangutan). Its description in RNAcentral is "sense intronic". Lineage: Eukaryota; Metazoa; Chordata; Mammalia; Primates; Hominidae. The record is from RNAcentral.
GAUUUUCUGCCUGUUGGAUCUCUUAAUUACUGCUGGAAGGGUGCUGCAGUCUCCAACUAUACAAAGGAAUAUUUUCAUUCAACCAACUUGAUCUGUCUACGUCUAAUGGCCUGGAAUCCUUCAGGAAAGUAUGGUCAGCUGGAUUUUGUCAGAAGGUGGAUUUCUACGGGCCUUAUGGCCUCUCAUGUUUGAUGAAGGGAACAGAAGAAAAUGGUUCCACUUCAGUGUAUAUUUAUUUUUUCAUGGAUACCUUUUUCGUUUUAUCCUGUUUCUUUUUUUCUUUCUUUCUUUUUUUUUUUUUUUUUUUUUGAGACAGAGUUUUGCUCUCGUCACCCAGGCUGGAGUGGAGUGGUGCAAUCUCUACUCACUGCAACAUCCGCCUCCUGGUCUCAAGCGAUUCUCUUUCCUCAGCCUCCCAAGUAGCUGGUAUUACAGGUGCCCACCACCACGCCCGGCAAAUUUUUUGUAUUUUUAGUAGAGACAGGGUUUUGCCAUGUUGGGCUGGCUGGUCUCAAACUCCUGAUCU